UGCCCGAUGGUGUAACGGCAGCACACGGGCCUUUGACGCCCUGAGUCAUGGUUCAAAUCCAUGUCGGGCAACCA
This 74-nucleotide transfer RNA is filed under the name Lentisphaerota bacterium. RNAcentral's name for it is "Lentisphaerae bacterium (anaerobic digester metagenome) tRNA-Gln". It matches the Rfam family "tRNA". From Rfam's summary of the family: Transfer RNA (tRNA) molecules are approximately 80 nucleotides in length. Their secondary structure includes four short double-helical elements and three loops (D, anti-codon, and T loops). Further hydrogen bonds mediate the characteristic L-shaped molecular structure. tRNAs have two regions of fundamental functional importance: the anti-codon, which is responsible for specific mRNA codon recognition, and the 3' end, to which the tRNAs corresponding amino acid is attached (by aminoacyl-tRNA synthetases). tRNAs cope with the degeneracy of the genetic code in two manners: having more than one tRNA (with a specific anti-codon) for a particular amino acid; and 'wobble' base-pairing, i.e. permitting non-standard base-pairing at the 3rd anti-codon position. The record is from RNAcentral. Lineage: Bacteria; Pseudomonadati; Lentisphaerota.